GGUCCUCUUUGAGUGAUGAAGAUGUCAGGGACCCAUUGAGCUCCAGAAGCAUCGUUCUGAGCCAGUACCAGCUGUCCAGGUCUUAAGAUUCCAUCUUUUGCUCUGUAUGUAUGCCUGAUGACUUGACCUUGCUGUUGACGUUGCACAACUUGUUAUGGUUCAGAAGAUUUCAUCAGAUCAAAGCAAGUGUGCAGCUGACAUCCCAUCAUUAGAAAGGCUGGGGACGUUGUAGCUGUAGCAUGAGCAGUUUGUUUGCUGUCCGAGCCAGUGGGCAUAAAUGAUUUGUGUGUGUGAGAGAUGAACUGCCAGUUGGAGCAUGACCAAAACACAGCAGCUGCCAGUCUGCCAGCAGUCACAAGUGGCUGCAGAGCUGCUCCACAGAGCUCACUUUCACUUUGUGACUUUGGUGCAUCCAACAGAUGUGGAGGUGGAGACAGAGGAUCUGUGCAGCAACAGACUGGAAAAUCCACACAGUGAGCAAAUGCUUUGCCCCACACUUCUACCAGCUCUUCUCUUCCCAGCCUCCGGAAUGGCCUCACAAUUGCCUCUGAGCCAUGGAAUCAGACAGAUCCCUCUGCCAAGGGUUAUUCUGCAGCUGUGAUGGACUGAGGUAGAUUUCUCCAUCACUGAAAAUUACAUAUAGAUUUUGUUCGCUCUGUCAAUGACAUACACACUGAUAGAUGGACAAUAUAGGUUGCCAUAAGUUGCAUGGGCAGGGAACAAUGAAAGAUUUCAGCCCGGGUGUGCGAGGAAGCCUGCAGCAGCAAGAAGCUCAACCAGUCAUUGGUGUAAUGCAGUGGAUAAAAUACAGC
Pelodiscus sinensis (Chinese soft-shelled turtle) is the source of this 812-nucleotide non-coding RNA. Lineage: Eukaryota; Metazoa; Chordata; Testudines; Trionychidae. The record is from RefSeq and is a predicted model, not a curated record.